UGUCUUUACUGAUAUGAAGAGCUUGCUCUGAUUUGAUUUUCCCUUAAAAGAGUGGCGAACGGGUGAGUAACACGUGGGUAACCUUCCUCUUAGCAGGGGAUAACAUUUGGAAACAAGUGCUAAUACCGUAUAAUACCAACAACCGCAUGGUUGUUGGUUGAAAGAUGGUUCUGCUAUCACUAAGAGAUGGACCCGCGGUGCAUUAGCUAGUUGGUAAGGUAACGGCUUACCAAGGCAAUGAUGCAUAGCCGAGUUGAGAGACUGAUCGGCCACAAUGGGACUGAGACACGGCCCAUACUCCUACGGGAGGCAGCAGUAGGGAAUCUUCCACAAUGGGCGCAAGCCUGAUGGAGCAACGCCGCGUGUGUGAUGAAGGGUUUCGGCUCGUAAAACACUGUUAUAAGAGAAGAACGGCACUGAGAGUAACUGUUCAGUGUGUGACGGUAUCUUACCAGAAAGGAACGGCUAAAUACGUGCCAGCAGCCGCGGUAAUACGUAUGUUCCAAGCGUUAUCCGGAUUUAUUGGGCGUAAAGCGAGCGCAGACGGUUAUUUAAGUCUGAAGUGAAAGCCCUCAGCUCAACUGAGGAAUGGCUUUGGAAACUGGAUGACUUGAGUGCAGUAGAGGAAAGUGGAACUCCAUGUGUAGCGGUGAAAUGCGUAGAUAUAUGGAAGAACACCAGUGGCGAAGGCGGCUUUCUGGACUGUAACUGACGUU
RNAcentral lists this ribosomal RNA (716 nucleotides) under uncultured bacterium. RNAcentral's name for it is "bacterial SSU rRNA". It matches the Rfam family "Bacterial small subunit ribosomal RNA", at positions 45 to 747 of the family's 1533-position model. The record is from RNAcentral.